This 446-nucleotide ribosomal RNA is filed under the name uncultured bacterium. Its description in RNAcentral is "partial 16S ribosomal RNA". It matches the Rfam family "Bacterial small subunit ribosomal RNA", at positions 331 to 793 of the family's 1533-position model. The record is from RNAcentral.
CCAGACUCCUACGGGAGGCAGCAGUGGGGGAUAUUGCACAAUGGGGGGAACCCUGAUGCAGCGACGCCGCGUGAGGGAAGAAGGUUUUUGGAUUGUAAACCUCUGUCCUUGGUAAAGAAGCAAGACGGUAGCCAAGGAGGAAGCCACGGCUAACUACGUGCCAGCAGCCGCGGUAAUACGUAGGUGGCAAGCGUUAUCCGGAUUUACUGGGUGUAAAGGGCGUGUGGGCGGGAAAGCAAGUCAGAUGUGAAAACCAUGGGCUCAACCUGUGGCCUGCAUUUGAAACUGUUUUUCUUGAGUACUGGAGAGGCAGACGGAAUUCCUAGUGUAGCGGUGAAAUGCGUAGAUAUUAGGAGGAACACCAGUGGCGAAGGCGGUCUGCUGGACAGCAACUGACGCUGAGGCGCGAAAGCGUGGGGAGCAAACAGGAUUAGAUACCCUCGUAC